This is a long non-coding RNA of Eriocheir sinensis (Chinese mitten crab), 911 nucleotides long. RefSeq lists it as uncharacterized. The transcript is spliced from 4 exons. Lineage: Eukaryota; Metazoa; Arthropoda; Malacostraca; Decapoda; Varunidae. The record is from RefSeq and is a predicted model, not a curated record.
UUGCUCUCCUAGGUGUAUUGCCUAUGACGGCUCACGAGCCCAACCUGCCCGGGUUUAUUGUUCGGAGUUUGCUCUCCUAGGUGUAUUACCUAUGACGGCUCACGAGCCCAACCUGCCCGGGUUUAUUGUUCGGAGUUUGCUCUCCUAGGUGAAUUGCCUACCACGGCUAACGAACCUCACCUGCCCGGGUUUGUAAUCGGAGUUUGCUCUCCUAGGUGAACUGCUUUCGCUAACGACCUCCACCUGCCCGGGUUUGUAAUCGGAGUUUGCUCUCCUAGGUGAACUGCUUUCGCUAACGACCUCCACCUGCCCGGUUUUGUAAUCGGAGUUUGCUCUCCUAGGUGAACUGCUUUCGCUAACGACCUCCACCUGCCCGGUUUUGUAAUCGGAGUUUGCUCUCCUAGAUGAACUGCUUUCGCUAACGACCUCCACCUGCCCGGGUUUAUUGUUCGGAGUUUGCUCUCCUAGGUGAAUUGCCUACCACGGCUAACGAACCUCACCUGCCCUGGUUUGUUGUUCGGAGUUUGCUCUCCUAGGCAGAUUGCCUACCACGGCUAACGAGCCCCACCUGCCCGGCGUUGUAGCCGAAAGAUCUCCGGCACCUCCGUCGGGGUCCCGAUGGACGCCGAGGCGCCCUGCCGGGAGCCCUCCAGUCCUGCCAUGCUCGCCUGGGAGACCUUGGGCUCGCUGGCGCUCCACCACCCCGCCGAUUCGAAUAGGGCGGAUGCAAGAACUCGCUUCUUAAAACUACCAGACUGGAUUAUAAAAUUAAUCAUAAAUGCCGUGAAGGCGCCGGUCACCGCGUUUAUCGGUUCUUGGAUGAAGGACCGAUGGGCCUCGGGGACGCGCACAAGCAUCAUAAGGAAUCCUCGCCGCGGCUUCCGGCACAGCAUCCUUUUCCCUUUUCUUUC